GGGGAUAUAAUUCAGUUGGUAGAAACCUGCCUAGCAUGCACAUGGCUUUGGGUUCAAUACCCAGCAUCACCG
Molecule: transfer RNA, 72 nt
Filed under: Marmota monax (woodchuck)
Lineage: Eukaryota; Metazoa; Chordata; Mammalia; Rodentia; Sciuridae
Description: tRNA.Ala
Source: RNAcentral